UAUGGGCUAAAGAUACCAAUAGUCCACACAAUUAGAUUAAUGGUGACAACACUCACCAAUCCUGUUUUUUUAAGUUUCGAGACUCACCAAUACUCUCAAACGUGCUCUAGCAAAUUUAAAGGAAAUAUAGAAAAGGAAGAUUUCAAACUAUUCAAAGUCACCAAACACAAUUUUAUUAAGGGCAUGCAGAGCCCUGUCCUCAAAAAUAAAAAUGAAAGAGAGUUCUCCCUCCCCUUCUCCCUUCUCCCUUCUCCCUUCUCUUUUACCGGCACUAUGGUCUCCGACCAUCACCGCUCAACCCAUCUGCCGUAGGAACCAACGAUCUACAAACUAUACGCGCGCGUUACUCGAUCAGCUAUGAUCUGAUCAACAGUUCUGGAUGUUGUCAUCGAUUGGACUUGAAGAAGUGAUGGGUUUUCUUGAACAGUCGUUUCCUGAUGUUGAAAUAGCUAUUGAACUUGGGAAGCAAUAUUGAAAGAAGCUAGAGGAAACAAUGGAGAAAUUCUCACAAGGAAUAACAAUGUUGAGAAUUCUAUUGAUAGCUACCGCAAAGCCUUUGACAUUGUUGACCUGGCUGUGUUUGGUUGAUGAGAAAAUGCUGGCAAAGAAUUAGACUUCAAACAUCAAGUGUUGUACUUCUGUUAGUUGACUCAGCAAAGAACUUAUUAUAUGCUGAUUGGAAUUUUCUAUACCUGAUGCAGAUGGUAUAUAAUGGUACAUGUUGUUGGCUCUCUUUUCCAAUAUAUCCGGCUAGGAAUCGGCCUGUCUACAAGGCAAAUGGUGGCAGCAUACUUUGUCACAUUGACAGAUUACUUGCUUGACAGUUUCUUCUGGAGAUCAGACAUGUAUAAGUCAUCCAUGAAGGAGAAGAGGAAAUUGCAGUAUCAUGCCUAGAAUUAAGGCUGCCAAGAAUUUUUCUUUGGUUUGAUAGGAAUCAUUGAAUUUGUAUAUUAAUUUUAAUUUUUUUUAAUGUGAAAUAUUGCAGUCACCAUUGUUAGAAAGUGUGUUUUCUGAUGAUGGGGCCCACAGUUUGAAAGUCACCAAAAAAUUGAUAGUGUCAUUUUGAGUAUAUGUCACGCCAGCAAAGGCAACCAUUCUUUAA
Molecule: RNA transcript, 1102 nt
Organism: Rosa chinensis
Lineage: Eukaryota; Viridiplantae; Streptophyta; Magnoliopsida; Rosales; Rosaceae
Exons: 7
Source: RefSeq, a predicted model, not a curated record